GGACCAGCGUUCGGUAAAUCUUCAGUCUCGUCGGGUUGCCCAGAGCUUCUAAGCGGGCUGCGGCGUCUUCAAUUUUCAUGACACCAACGAUGCUCCGUCCGCCGAGCGAUGUCAACCGUGCUUCUAGNNNNUCGAAAUAAUCUAGGCAAACCCAAGUCUCGAUUGACAGGACUCCAAUAGAUCCAUUAAUCUGGAUAUAUGAAAAAUUUGGAAGCAAUCGAUGCGCUUGCCGCGCUCGCCCAAG
This 244-nucleotide unclassified non-coding RNA is filed under the name Hevea brasiliensis (rubber tree). Lineage: Eukaryota; Viridiplantae; Streptophyta; Magnoliopsida; Malpighiales; Euphorbiaceae. The record is from RNAcentral.